Molecule: ribosomal RNA, 426 nt
Filed under: Triticum aestivum (bread wheat)
Lineage: Eukaryota; Viridiplantae; Streptophyta; Magnoliopsida; Poales; Poaceae
Description: partial small subunit ribosomal RNA
Source: RNAcentral
AUGAGGGGAUCUCGAACUGAGCCUGUGGAUGUCAGUUCUGAUGGAAGCGCCGACAGCGGCUCUGACGAAAACUUGGACAGCAGCUCAGAUGGAUCGGGUUAUAGCUCCUCCUAUGAAGGAGCAUCCAUGAGCUCUGAUGGAGUGGUGUACAUCAUCUCUGAUGAAGGGAAGCUCAUAAGCUCUGAUGAAGGUGAGUACAAUAGUCCAGAUGAGGGCGCCUACACCAGCUCUGAUGAAGACAUGAGCAACAGCUCUGAUGAAGGCGCUCACACCAUUCGUGCUAAAGGUGUUCAUAGGCGCAUGAAGGAGAAGAAGCCCUGGAAAGCAUGCAUGAACAUCUGUGAUUGCCCUAAAGAGUACACAGUUGUACUUUUCUGCUUUGUUUACGAAGCAGUAUCUAGCGGAUUUCAUUGCUACUCCUGUUGA